UCUUCGGCAAUGGACGAAAGUCUGACCGAGCAACGCCGCGCGAGUGAAGAAGGUUUUCGGAUCGUAAAACUCCGUUGUUAGAGAAGAACAAGGACGGUAGUAGCUGAACGUCCCCUGACGGUAUCUAACCAGAAAGCCACGGCUAACUACGUGCCAGCAGCCGCGGCAAUACGUAGGUGGCAAGCGUUGUCCGGAUUUAUUGGGCGUAAAGCGAGCGCAGGCGGUUUCUUAAGUCUGAUGUGAAAGCCCCCGGCUCAACCGGGGAGGGUCAUUGGAAACUGGGAGACUUGAGUGCAGAAGAGGAGAGUGGAAUUCCAUGUGUAGCGGUGAAAUGCGUAGAUAUAUGGAGGAACACCAGUGGCGAAGGCGGCUCUCUGGUCUGUAACUGACGCUGAGGCUCGAAGGCGUGGGGAGCAAACAG
Molecule: ribosomal RNA, 421 nt
Filed under: uncultured bacterium
Lineage: Bacteria
Description: bacterial SSU rRNA
Rfam family: Bacterial small subunit ribosomal RNA
Source: RNAcentral